This 283-nucleotide long non-coding RNA is filed under the name Oryzias sinensis (Chinese medaka). RNAcentral describes it as "lncRNA (ENSOSIG00000010187.1)". Lineage: Eukaryota; Metazoa; Chordata; Actinopteri; Beloniformes; Adrianichthyidae. The record is from RNAcentral.
UGUUGGUUCACAGACGUCACUGAACCAAGCUCCCCCUCUAGAGAUGGGCACUUUUAAAACCAAAAUGUUUAUUUUACACAACUAAACUAUGAAAAACUGGACCUGAAUUUACAUCAAACCCUUGUUUUCUAGAAAAAGAUACGAGUUCUGCAGCUGCUGAGAAACCCGGUAAGCCGGGUCAGAGAGCUCACAGAAGCAAGGCUCCUGUCCCCCACAGGAAUCCAAAUCAAAGAUCAAAUCCGUCAAAUGCGCAGAGAAAGGCUGCAGGGAAUCAAAGGUGAGU